Molecule: ribosomal RNA, 836 nt
Filed under: Ceratocystis fimbriata
Lineage: Eukaryota; Fungi; Ascomycota; Sordariomycetes; Microascales; Ceratocystidaceae
Description: partial large subunit ribosomal RNA
Rfam family: Eukaryotic large subunit ribosomal RNA
Source: RNAcentral
UGCCCUAGUAACGGCGAGUGAAGCGGCAACAGCUCAAAUUUGAAAUCUGGCUACCUUUCGUAGUCCGAGUUGUAAUUUGUAGAGGAUGCUUUUGGUGAGGUGCCUUCCGAGUUCCCUGGAACGGGACGCCAUAGAGGGUGAGAGCCCCGUACGGUUGGAUACCAAGCCUCUGUAUAGCUCCUUCAACGAGUCGAGUAGUUUGGGAAUGCUGCUCUAAAUGGGAGGUAUAUCUCUUCUAAAGCUAAAUAUAGGCUAGAGACCGAUAGCGCACAAGUAGAGUGAUCGAAAGAUGAAAAGCACUUUGAAAAGAGAGUUAAACAGCACGUGAAAUUGUUGAAAGGGAAGCGCCUAUGACCAGACUUGUUUCUGGCAGUUUCGUUAGCCCUCGGGCUGAUUUACUCUGUCCAGUACAGGCCAGCAUCAGUUUGCUGUCGGGGAGAAAGGCUCUGGGAACGUAGCUCCCCCCUUCUGGGGGGAGUGUUAUAGCCCUCUGCAUAAUACCCUUCGGCAGACUGAGGACCGCGCUUCGGCAAGGAUGCUGGCGUAAUGGUCAUCAGCGACCCGUCUUGAAACACGGACCAAGGAGUCAACCUUAUGUGCGAGUGUUUGGGUGUAAAACCCCAGCGCGUAAUGAAAGUGAACGUAGGUGAGAGCUUCGGCGCAUCAUCGACCGAUUCUGAUGUUUUCGGAUGGAUUUGAGUAAGAGCACACAGGGUUGGACCCGAAAGAAGGUGAACUAUGCUUGUAUAGGGUGAAGCCAGAGGAAACUCUGGUGGAGGCUCGCAGCGGUUCUGACGUGCAAAUCGAUCGUCAAAUAUGAGCAUGGGGGCGAAAGA